Molecule: ribosomal RNA, 379 nt
Filed under: uncultured eukaryote
Lineage: Eukaryota
Description: partial 18S ribosomal RNA
Rfam family: Eukaryotic small subunit ribosomal RNA
Source: RNAcentral
CAAUAGCGUAUAUUUAAGUUGUUGCAGUUAAAAAGCUCGUAGUUGGAUUUCGGAUGGGAUUUGCCGGUCCGUCGUUACGAUGUGCACUGGCCAGUCCUAUCUUGUUGUCGGGGACUAGCUCCUUGGAUUCACUUCCUGGGACUAGGAGCUGACGAGGUUACUUUGAGUAAAUUAGAGUGUUCAAAGCAAGCCUACGCUCUGAAUACAUUAGCAUGGAAUAACACGAUAGGACUCUGGCUUAUCUUGUUGGUCUGUGAGACCAGAGUAAUGAUUAAGAGGGACAGUCGGGGACAUUCGUAUUUCAUUGUCAGAGGUGAAAUUCUUGGAUUUAUGAAAGACGAACUUCUGCGAAAGCAUUUGUCAAAGAUGUUUUCAUUAA